UACCAAGAUGAGAUGAUGGAGUCCCAGC
Molecule: non-coding RNA, 28 nt
Filed under: Homo sapiens (human)
Lineage: Eukaryota; Metazoa; Chordata; Mammalia; Primates; Hominidae
Source: RNAcentral